Molecule: long non-coding RNA, 1916 nt
Organism: Tetranychus urticae (two-spotted spider mite)
Lineage: Eukaryota; Metazoa; Arthropoda; Arachnida; Trombidiformes; Tetranychidae
Source: RefSeq, a predicted model, not a curated record
UGAUUAAGGCAAUGAUAAUGGUCUAUUAUGGUAUUAUCAUGAAAAUUAUCAUCAUUAUCCUGAGUGUUUACUUCCGUUUUCCCUACACUUUUCAAUCUAAGCAACUCAGUCAAUCAUGAAAAUGCACAAAUGAAAUGAGUAAAUCAAAUAACAAAAAAUUGAUAAAACCCUGAAUAGAGCAACAAAAAAAGACGAGAUUGAAAAUGAAUGUCAACAUUGAAUAAGCGACUCGCCUUGUUUCAACUGUUGCCCUGAAAGAUGGACAGAUGAAUCUAAAAUUAUAAUAAGAUGAUUUAUAUGAUUGUCAACAUUAGUUCAUGGUUAAGAUCUCCUGUUGAUUGUUUAAAUUGUUUCAUUAGCUGGUAAAAUGAUAUAAAAAAAUGUAAUAUAAAAAGGCUUAACCUUGCCCAAUUUGUUGCUGCUGCUGCUGUUAGCUGAUUUUUUUGGUUCCCUUGAUUGUUACCUUCAUUAUUGGUCAGUGCGUGUUUGGGUUAAAGCUUGUUUCCCAUUUACAAUUGUUGUUAUAUAUCUACUGAUUCCUCUCAUUGUAGUUAGUAUAAUCAUAAUAAUAAUAAUAACUUAUUUAUUGCAAUUAUUAUUAUCUUUGAUGCAAAAAGCAAACCUGUUGACCUUGCAUUUUCUCAGUCUCUUUAUUCUGAAUUUUACCAUGCUUGGUGUACAUUUAUACUUCAUGAUAUCAAUAUAUUUUUCUUCUUCUUCUUCCCAUUAAACAUUAUUAACAUUAUUCCAGCUAUUAUUAGUAUAAUUAUUAUUAUUUAUUUUUUAUUUUAUCAACUUGCAAUUUCUCAGGUUGACAACCAUUGUACUUAAUAUACCUUCCCUCUAAGCUGUUAAGGCCUAAGCUUUUUUAUGCUGUGUAAUGAUUACUUGUAAGACUUUUGAUUGUUAAUUUUUUUAUUUUGCUUUUCUUUUGCCUUUAAUUUUAAUUUUGUUGCUUCUUUUUUUUUAUUUUUCUCAUGUUAAUCUGCUUUAGUUGAAUAAUUAUUUGUAUUAAUUAUGUUGCUCUUUCAUCGUCAGGUUGUUACACUUUCAGUUAACUCUUUUUUUGUUUGUGUAUCCUGUUAAUAUACCAUGUAAACAUCAAGAUCAAGUUUCUCCGGGUUAAAAUCAUCUUUAGCUUCUUCUUUUUUUCAAUUUGUGAUCAUAUUUACAGAAGAUGGUUGAUAAUGAUUUUGACUGGCUUGGUUCUUGUAGUUUGCUUGCUUACUUAUCUGCUGGGAAGACUGACUAAAUGCAACAAAUGGUGGAUGUUAAUAAUAGUACAAUGCGAGUGAAGACAAAGUCACAAUUUGAUAUUAAAUAAACUGACAUUUGAUUCGACAACAACUGGUAAAAUACAAUUGUUAAUUGAACCUAAAGAGCAUAUAUGAUUGUCAUCGAUGAAUGGAGCAAAAUAAGCCAACACUGGAAUCAACAAACAGUCAACAGAGGGAACAAUCAGUUUUAAUCAAAUGUAAAGGGAGGACUUAACCAACUUGAAUUUUGCCGUUUCGUUUCCUUCUUUUUCAUUGGGUUCAUCCUUUGCUCGUGUACGCUUUUUUAUUCAAUUUGAAAGAGAGUACAGUAUUCGUCAAUUAAUUUCAUUGCAUACUUUCAUCCUGAUUGUUGAUGGUGAUGACAAUUAUAAUUAAUUAUGUAUUAUCACCAUGAACCACACCUAUUAACCGGUUAUGUUUAUUGCAGUUAAUUUUCAAUUGUGAAUAGCAACAUCAACGGCAAACAAAGGAAAGCCAUUAGGAAAAAAAGACAAUGUUACUCUUUUUUUGCAUUGCAAUAGCAGGUUCAGUCGUAUGUUUAGUUGAAAUUGUUAAUUAAACAGAAAUUUGAAACUGUUUCUAUUACAAUCAAAUAUAUAUAUUAUAUAACAACAGAAACAACAACAGCAAAAAAAAUAG